AGAGGAUGGAACCUGUAUUUAUGUGGAAAGAAGCAAAGACUAAGAAAUCGCAUAACCCUUUCUCUCUUUGAAGUUAAAAUAAUGCAUUCGGGGCUAUGAAUAUGAAGAUUCAAAGCCGGGAUCUGCAAGUCAACAAGGACAGUUAACACUACAGUAUUUGUCUCAACUGUUCUGAGUUCUUUUUAUCCAGACUUUCAGGAGAUAGAAUCUAGAUACUCUUCAUUAACUUUAAGAUAUUAACCACAGAUAUCAUCUAUACAAGUUCAAACCAUGCUGUUGUGGAGCCUUGUUCCAGUGGAUCCGUCUGCAAUCACUCCUCCACCUCAGUCUCAAGGGCUGGAAAGACAGCAAGAGCCAGAGGUCAGGCUGUGGAAUGAUGUCUUCUAGCAGUGUCAGAGUCUACAUCCACAAAAAUCUCACAGACGUGACUGUUUAAACAUGAGGUGAUCGAGGAGGACAGCCAUAGGAUUCUUAAUAUGGGAAAGCCCAAGACACUUCAGCACUACAAUAGAAACCUACUGCAUUGGAGACAGCAGAUAAGAUAAUCUUCCCAAGGAAAAAGGCCUCUCCAUAACUGGUUAUACAACACCAAUGGUCAGUCCUGCAAAUAUGUAAUUUGAGUAUCAUUAUACAAAUGGAGCAUAGUUGUGUGCAUGACAAUAAUAUGUAUGAAAUACAAUGUUUUUUUUUUUAAAGGCCAUGAAUUUUAAAGAGAACAAGGAGCAGAGGAUGCAUGGGAUGGUUUGUUGGGAGGAAAGAAAAGUGUAAAAUGAUGUAAUUAUAUUGUAAUCUCAAAACAAUGAAAAAUAUCUUACAAUAAAUUAAUGUGAGUUACAAAACAAAAAAGAAGUAGCAUUGGUGUAGAUGUGGUAGUCAUGCAUGCAGUAGUUAACUAGUUAACGAUGAAACUGCAUUUUGAUUUACGACUAUUUCACUUCCGUCAGCUUGUUUGCUUGAAAAAAGUUCUUAUCAGUUUACAUGGUUUAUUUCUUAUGUAUUUUAAAAAGAACUACUGUUAUUAAAAAUAUAUG
Molecule: long non-coding RNA, 1031 nt
Organism: Meriones unguiculatus (Mongolian gerbil)
Lineage: Eukaryota; Metazoa; Chordata; Mammalia; Rodentia; Muridae
Exons: 3
Source: RefSeq, a predicted model, not a curated record